Molecule: ribosomal RNA, 509 nt
Filed under: uncultured bacterium
Lineage: Bacteria
Description: bacterial SSU rRNA
Rfam family: Bacterial small subunit ribosomal RNA
Source: RNAcentral
GACGAACGCUGGCGGCGUGGAUUAGGCAUGCAAGUCGAACGGUAUCAUCCUUUCGGGGGUGAGAGAGUGGCGAACUGGUGAGUAACACGUAGGUUAUCUACCCUCAAGACGGGGACAACCCAGGGAAACUUGGGCUAAUACCGGAUGUGAGCAACUUUUAGUUGUUUGAAAGGUGGCGUAAGCUGUCGCUUGGGGAUGAGCCUGCGUCCUAUUAGUUAGUUGGUGAGGUAACGGCUCACCUAGGCAAUGAUAGGUAGGCGGCCUUAACGGGUGGUCGCCCACACUGGGAUUGAGAUACGGCCCAGACUCCUACGGGAGGCAGCAGUCGAGAAUAGUCUACAAUGGUCGGAAGACUGAUAGUGCGACGCCGCGUGAACGAUGAAUCCCUUCGGGGUGUAAAGUUCUUUUAUAUGUGAGCAGUGCUUCUUAUAUUAACAGUAUGGGGAGAGAGAUAUUAGCAUAUGAAUAAAGCAACGGCUAACUCCCGUGCCAGCAGCCGCGGUAAAAUA